Molecule: RNA transcript, 2317 nt
Organism: Hippocampus comes (tiger tail seahorse)
Lineage: Eukaryota; Metazoa; Chordata; Actinopteri; Syngnathiformes; Syngnathidae
Gene: grk3
Gene name: G protein-coupled receptor kinase 3
Exons: 22
Source: RefSeq, a predicted model, not a curated record
AUGGCGGACCUGGAGGCCGUGCUGGCCGACGUCAGCUACUUGAUGGCGAUGGAGAAGAGCAAGUCGACCCCUGCCGCCAGAGCCAGCAAGAAGAUCAUCCUGCCAGAGCCCAGCAUACGCAGCGUGAUGCAGAAAUAUCUGGAGGAGCGCGACGAGCUCACCUUCGACAAGAUCUUCAACCAAAAGAUUGGCUUCCUCCUAUUCAAGGACUUUUGCAUGAACGAGAUCGACGAGGCCGUCCCACAGCUCAAGUUCUACGAGGAAAUAAAAGACUAUGAAAAGCUGGACUCGGAGGAGGAAAGACUCAGUCGCAGUCGGCAGAUCUAUGACGGAUACAUCAUGAAGGAGCUGCUAUCGUGUUCACAUCCGUUCUCCAAAAAAGCCGUGGACCAUGUCCAGAGUCAUCUGGCCAAGAAGCUGGUGCCCCCAACCCUCUUCCAGCCCUACAUCGUGGAGAUCUGCGACAGCCUACGAGGGAAGAUCUUCCUUAAGUUCAUCGAAAGCGACAAAUUCACAAGAUUUUGCCAGUGGAAGAAUGUGGAGCUCAACAUCCACCUGACGAUGAACGACUUCAGCGUCCACCGCAUUAUCGGCCGCGGCGGCUUCGGCGAAGUUUACGGAUGCAGGAAGGCUGACACGGGAAAGAUGUACGCCAUGAAGUGUCUGGACAAGAAGCGCAUCAAGAUGAAGCAGGGCGAGACGCUGGCGCUCAACGAGAGGAUCAUGCUUUCGCUCGUCAGCACCGGGGAUUGCCCGUUCAUCGUGUGCAUGACGUACGCCUUCCACACGCCUGACAAGCUCUGCUUCAUAUUGGACCUCAUGAAUGGCGGCGACCUGCACUACCACCUGUCUCAGCACGGCGUGUUCAGUGAGAAGGAAAUGCGCUUCUAUGCCGCCGAGAUCAUCCUGGGCCUGGAGCAUAUGCACAACCGCUUCGUCGUCUACAGGGACCUCAAGCCCGCCAACAUCCUGCUAGACGAGCACGGACACGUUCGCAUCUCUGACCUGGGCCUCGCCUGCGACUUCUCCAAGAAGAAACCGCACGCCAGUGUGGGCACCCACGGCUACAUGGCCCCAGAGGUUCUGCAGAAGGGGACGGCGUACGACAGCAGCGCCGACUGGUUCUCGCUGGGGUGCAUGCUCUUCAAGCUGCUUCGGGGGCACAGCCCGUUCAGGCAGCACAAGACCAAAGACAAACACGAGAUUGACAGGAUGACGCUGACCAUGAACGUGGAGCUCCCCGAUUCGUUCACGGCGGAACUGAAGGAACUUCUCGAAGGGCUCCUGCAGCGCGACGUCUCCAAGAGGCUGGGCUGCCAGGGACGAGGAGCGGUGGAGGUCAAGGGGCAUCCCUUCUUCACGGGCAUGGACUGGCAGCAGGUCUACCUGCAGAAGUACUCGCCGCCGCUCAUCCCGCCCAGAGGGGAAGUCAACGCCGCCGACGCCUUCGACAUCGGCUCCUUUGAUGAGGAGGACACCAAGGGCAUCAAGCUCCUGGACAGCGACCAGGAGCUGUACAAGAACUUCCCGCUGGUGAUUUCCGAGCGUUGGCAACAAGAAGUGGCCGAGACCGUCUAUGGCGCCGUGAACUUGGACACGGACAAAAAUGAGGCCCGCAAGAGGGCCAAAAACAAACAACUGGGCCACGAGGAAGACUACGCGCUGGGCAAGGAUUGCAUCAUGCAUGGCUACAUGCUGAAGCUGGGGAACCCCUUCCUCACGCAGUGGCAGCGGCGCUACUUUUACCUCUUCCCCAACCGAGUCGAGUGGCGGGGAGAGGGCGAGUCACGGGAAACAUGGUUGGCGAAACAUUUGACGCAGCUCAAAGACUCGCUCCUCAAAGUCAGAGUUUGACUUCUCGCAUCUCAUGGGAUAACAGGGCUGAUCUGCUCGUCCCAAGACUGUAGUGUUAAGUCAUCAGGUCCAGGUGUCCAGCGUGGGUCGAGAUCUACAGUGAGACCCAAGUUCUGAAGUCCUAUGACCCAACACUAUAGUGUUAGCCAUGUGCUCCCAAAUCUUCAAUGAGACCCAAGUCUCCUAUCCCGAGUCCUCAGGUCAAGGUGCCUUGCCCCAAAUCUUCAGUGACACUGAAGUCCCAGGUCUGUGGUCUAGGACCGUAGUGUCAAGUUAUCAGGUCCAGGUGUCUAGUCGCAAGUAACCAAGCUCAAACGGGUCCCCGAGUCCUGAACGGCGGUCCGUGUGAUGUCACAGCAAAACCUUCUGACGAUGGAGCAAAUCGUCUCGGUGGAGGAAACGCAGAUUAAAGACAAGAAGUGCAUUCUGCUGCGCAUCAAAGGAGGGAAGCAGUUUGUGCUGC